This 497-nucleotide ribosomal RNA is filed under the name uncultured bacterium. RNAcentral describes it as "partial 16S ribosomal RNA". It matches the Rfam family "Bacterial small subunit ribosomal RNA", at positions 29 to 507 of the family's 1533-position model. The record is from RNAcentral.
UAUGAACGCUGGCGGCGUGCCUAAUACAUGCAAGUCGAGCGAACAGACGAGGAGCUUGCUCCUCUGACGUUAGCGGCGGACGGGUGAGUAACACGUGGAUAACCUACCUAUAAGACUGGGAUAACUUCGGGAAACCGGAGCUAAUACCGGAUAACAUGUUGAACCGCAUGGUUCAACAGUGAAAGACGGUUUUGCUGUCACUUAUAGAUGGAUCCGCGUCGCAUUAGCUAGUUGGUAAGGUAACGGCUUACCAAGGCAACGAUGCGUAGCCGACCUGAGAGGGUGAUCGGCCACACUGGAACUGAGACACGGUCCAGACUCCUACGGGAGGCAGCAGUAGGGAAUCUUCCGCAAUGGGCGAAAGCCUGACGGAGCAACGCCGCGUGAGUGAAGAAGGUCUUCGGAUCGUAAAACUCUGUUAUUCGGGAAGAACAAAUGUGUAAGUAACUAUGCACGUCUUGACGGUACCUAAUCAGAAAGCCACGGCUAACUACGUG